Molecule: ribosomal RNA, 253 nt
Filed under: uncultured bacterium
Lineage: Bacteria
Description: partial 16S ribosomal RNA
Rfam family: Bacterial small subunit ribosomal RNA
Source: RNAcentral
UACGGGGGGGGCAAGCGUUGUUCGGAAUUACUGGGCGUAAAGGGCUCGUAGGCGGCCAACUAAGUCAUACGUGAAAUCCCUCGGCUUAACCGGGGAACUGCGUCUGAUACUGGAUGGCUUGAGAUUGGGAGAGGGAUGCGGAAUUCCAGGUGUAGCGGUGAAAUGCGUAGAUAUCUGGAGGAACACCGGUGGCGAAGGCGGCAUCCUGGACCAACACUGACGCUGAGGCGCGAAAGCCAGGGGAGCAAACGGG